Molecule: long non-coding RNA, 1085 nt
Organism: Oncorhynchus tshawytscha (Chinook salmon)
Lineage: Eukaryota; Metazoa; Chordata; Actinopteri; Salmoniformes; Salmonidae
Exons: 3
Source: RefSeq, a predicted model, not a curated record
UGAGGUAGGCACUAACCCAUCCACAAAUACAACCUGCUGAAGGACUCAGUCUCUGAGGUAGGCACUAACCCAUCCACAAAUACAACCUGCUGAGGUAGGCACUAACCCAUCCACAAAUACAACCUGCUGAAGGACUCAGUCUCUGAGGUAGGCACUAACCCAUCCAUAAAUACAACCUGCUGAAGGACUCAGUCUCUGAGGUAGGCACUAACCCAUCCACAAAUACAACCUGCUGAAGGACUCAGUCUCUGAGGUAGGCACUAACCCAUCCACAAAUACAACCUGCUGAAGGACUCAGUCUCUGAGGUAGGCACUAACCCAUCCACAAAUACAACCUGCUGAAGGACUCAGUCUCUGAGGUAGGCACUAACCCAUCCAUAAAUACAACCUGCUGAAGGUCUCAGUCUCUGAGGUAGGCACUAACCCAUCCAUAAAUACAACCUGCUGAAGGACUCAGUCUCUGAGGUAGGCACUAACCCAUCCAUAAAUACAACCUGCUGAAGGUCUCAGUCUCUGAGGUAGGCACUAACCCAUCCAUAAAUACAACCUGCUGAAGGACUCAGUCUCUGAGGUAGGCACUAACCCAUCCAUAAAUACAACCUGCUGAAGGACUCAGUCUCUGAGGUAGGCACUAACCCAUCCAUAAAUACAACCUGCUGAAGGACUCAGUCUCUGAGGUAGGCACUAACCCAUCCACAAGUACAACCUGCUGAGGUAGGCACUAACCCAUCCACAAGUACAACCUGCUGAAGGACUCUAUCUCUGAGGUAGGCACUAACCCAUCCACAAGUACAACCUGCUGAGGUAGGCACUAACCCAUCCAUAAAUACAACCUGCUGAGGUAGGCACUAACCCAUCCACAAGUACAACCUGCUGAGGUAGGCACUAACCCAUCCACAAGUACAACCUGCUGAGGUAGGCACUAACCCAUCCACAAGUACAACCUGCUGAGGUAGGCACUAACCCAUCCACAAGUACAACCUGCUGAAGGACUCAGUCUCUGAGGUAGGCACUAACCCAUCCACAAGUACAACCUGCUGAAGGACUCAGUCUCUGAGGUAGGCACUAACCCAUCCACAAGUACA